GACGAACGCUGGCGGCGUGCUUAACACAUGCAAGUCGAACGGAAAGGCCCUGCUUUUGGGGGGUGCGCGAGCGGCGAACGGGUGAGUAACAAGUGAGUAACCUGCCCUUGACUUUGGGAUAACUUCAGGAAACUGGGGCUAAUAACGGAUAGGAGCUCCUGCUGCAGGGUGGGGGGUGGAAAGUUUCGGCGGUUGGGGAUGGACGCGCGGCUUAUCAGCUUGUUGGUGGGGUAGUGGCUUACCAAGGCUUUGACGGGUAGCCGGCCUGAGAGGGUGACCGGCCACAUUGGGCCUGAGAUACGGCCCAGACUCCUACGGGAGGCAGCAGUGGGGAAUAUUGCACAAUGGGCGGAAGCCUGAUGCAGAAGCGCCGCGUGCGGGAUGACGGCCUUCGGGUUGUAAACCGCUUUCGCCUGUGACGAAGCGUGAGUGACGGUAAUGGGUAAAGAAGCACCGGCUAACUACGUG
This 468-nucleotide ribosomal RNA is filed under the name uncultured bacterium. RNAcentral's name for it is "partial 16S ribosomal RNA". It matches the Rfam family "Bacterial small subunit ribosomal RNA", at positions 28 to 507 of the family's 1533-position model. The record is from RNAcentral.